Molecule: ribosomal RNA, 495 nt
Filed under: uncultured bacterium
Lineage: Bacteria
Description: partial 16S ribosomal RNA
Rfam family: Bacterial small subunit ribosomal RNA
Source: RNAcentral
GAUGAACGCUGGCGGCGUGCCUAAUACAUGCAAGUAGAACGCUGAAGGAGGAGCUUGCUCUUCUGGAUGAGUUGCGAACGGGUGAGUAACGCGUAGGUAACCUGCCUGGUAGCGGGGGAUAACUAUUGGAAACGAUAGCUAAUACCGCAUGACAACAGUUAUUGCAUGAUAACUGUUUAAAAGGGGCAACUGCUCCACUACCAGAUGGACCUGCGUUGUAUUAGCUAGUUGGUGAGGUAACGGCUCACCAAGGCGACGAUACAUAGCAGACCGGAGAGGGUGAUCAGCCACACUGGGACUGAGACACGGCCCAGACUGAUACGGGAGGGAGCAGUAGGGAAUCGGCGGCAAUGGGCGGAAGUCUGACCGAGAAAGGCCGCGGGAGGGAAGAAGGUUUUCGGAUCGUAAAGGUCUGUUGUAAGAGAAGAACGAGUGUGAGAAUGGAAAGUUCAGUGUGUGACGGUAUCUUACCAGAAAGGGACGGCUAACUACGUG